RNAcentral lists this ribosomal RNA (468 nucleotides) under uncultured bacterium. Its description in RNAcentral is "partial 16S ribosomal RNA". It matches the Rfam family "Bacterial small subunit ribosomal RNA", at positions 28 to 507 of the family's 1533-position model. The record is from RNAcentral.
GACGAACGCUGGCGGCGUGCUUAACACAUGCAAGUCGAACGGGAAGGCCCUGCUUUUGUGGGGUUCUCGAGUGGCGAACGGGUGAGUAACACGUGAGUAACCUGCCCUUGACUUUGGUGUAACUUCACGAAACUGGGGCUACUACCGUAUAGCAUCCCCCGCUCCAUGGUGGGCGUUGGAAAGUCUCGGCGGGUGGGGAUGGACUGGCGGCUUAUCAGCUUGUUGGUGGGGUAGUGGAUUACCCAGGCUUUGACGGGUCGCCGGCCUGUGAGGGUGAACGGCGACAUGGGGACUGAGAUACGGCGCAGACGCGUACGGUAGACAGCAGGGGGGAGUAUUGCACAAUGGGCGGAAGCGGGAGGCAAAGACGCUGCGUGCGGGAAGACGUCCUUCGGGUUGUGAACCGCUUUAGCCUGAGACGACGCGGUAGUGACGGUAAUGGGUAAAGAAGCACCGGCUAACUACGUG